This 308-nucleotide long non-coding RNA is filed under the name Malus domestica (apple). RNAcentral describes it as "long non-coding RNA (MDOM_LNC004223)". Lineage: Eukaryota; Viridiplantae; Streptophyta; Magnoliopsida; Rosales; Rosaceae. The record is from RNAcentral.
UGUCUGCUGACUUGGCGAAGCAUUAAAUGAGGCAGGGGGUGUGCUGCUACCGUUUGGAAGGUUGAGGUUUUCUCAUUCGGUUGGAUCUGGCCUUCACUCCCUACUUGCUGAUAAGGGGUGACUGUAGCGGGUUUCCCUUGAUAUGUCCUUGCCUCGGCGGAAGCAUGGUUGUAAGCUUGUGCCAUCACCUCAGAGUAAGUCUUCCAAGUGUUGGCAUUGAUCAUGUACUUAAAAAAACAGUCACGUAAGCCUGCCGUGAAGGCCUUGAGGGCAGUCUUGUCAUCUGCCUCAGCGCAACGAGAAUACUC